RNAcentral lists this microRNA precursor (107 nucleotides) under Canis lupus familiaris (dog). Its description in RNAcentral is "mir-8834 microRNA precursor family". It matches the Rfam family "mir-8834 microRNA precursor family". The record is from Rfam by way of RNAcentral. RNAcentral also lists the same sequence under 1 other name. Lineage: Eukaryota; Metazoa; Chordata; Mammalia; Carnivora; Canidae.
AGGAGGAACAACCACAGUGGUGGCGGCCAGCUCUGGAGCCCUGGCUUCAGCUCCCGCAGUAACUAAUGAGCUCUCAGUCUGCAGGGGCCUGGAGGCUCCAGGGGCGG